Molecule: microRNA precursor, 85 nt
Organism: Medicago truncatula (barrel medic)
Lineage: Eukaryota; Viridiplantae; Streptophyta; Magnoliopsida; Fabales; Fabaceae
Rfam family: MIR2617 microRNA precursor family
Source: Rfam
AAGAAGUGUAGCAUUCCGUUUUUGUGAAUUACUCUGAUUAAAUAAAUGAAAUUUUCACGUUGGGAAAACGGGGUGUUACAUUUUA